Molecule: ribosomal RNA, 374 nt
Filed under: uncultured organism
Description: partial 16S ribosomal RNA
Rfam family: Bacterial small subunit ribosomal RNA
Source: RNAcentral
GUAGGUGGCAAGCGUUGUCCGGAAUUAUUGGGCGUAAAGCGCGCGCAGGCGGGUUCUUUAAGUCUGAUGCGAAAGCCCACGGGCUCAACCGUGGAGGGUCAUUGGAAACUGGAGAACUUGAGUACAGAAGAGGAAAGCGGAAUUCCACGUGUAGCGGUGAAAUGCGUAGAGAUGUGGAGGAACACCAGUGGCGAAGGCGGCUUUCUGGUCUGUAACUGACGCUGAGGCGCGAAAGCGUGGGGAGCAAACAGGAUUAGAUACCCUGGUAGUCCACGCCGUAAACGAUGAGUGCUAAGUGUUAGGGGGGUUUCCGCCCCUUAGUGCUGCAGCUAACGCAUUAAGCACUCCGCCUGGGGAGUACGGCCGCAAGGCUG